RNAcentral lists this ribosomal RNA (1364 nucleotides) under uncultured bacterium. Its description in RNAcentral is "16S ribosomal RNA". It matches the Rfam family "Bacterial small subunit ribosomal RNA", at positions 28 to 1386 of the family's 1533-position model. The record is from RNAcentral.
GAUGAACGCUGGCGGCGUGCUUAACACAUGCAAGUCGAACGAAGCAUCUUCACGGAAUUCCUUCGGGAAGGAAGCGAUUAUGACUGAGUGGCGGACGGGUGAGUAACGCGUGGAUAACCUGCCUCACACAGGGGGAUAACAGUUAGAAAUGACUGCUAAUACCGCAUAAGCGCACAGCACCGCAUGGUGCAGUGUGAAAAGCUCCGGCGGUGUGAGAUGGAUCCGCGUCUGAUUAGGCAGUUGGCGGGGUAGAGGCCCACCAAACCGACGAUCAGUAGCCGGCCUGAGAGGGUGACCGGCCACAUUGGGACUGAGACACGGCCCAGACUCCUACGGGAGGCAGCAGUGGGGAAUAUUGCACAAUGGGGGAAACCCUGAUGCAGCGACGCCGCGUGAGCGAAGAAGUAUCUCGGUAUGUAAAAGCUCUAUCAGCAGGGAAGAAGAAUGACGGUACCUGACUAAAAAGUAUCCGGCUAAAUACGUGCCAGCAGCCGCGGGAAUACGUAUGGGAGCAGGCGUAUCCGGGAUUUUCUGGGUGGAAAGGGAAGGGAGGCGGCAUGGCAAAUCUGAUGUGAAAAUCCGGGGCUUAACCCCGGACCUGCAUUGGAAACUGUCAGGCUGGAGUGUCGGAGAGGUAAGUGGAAUUCCUAGUGUAGCGGUGAAAUGCGUAGAUAUUAGGAGGAACACCAGUGGCGAAGGCGGCUUACUGGACGACAACUGACGCUGAGGCUCGAAAGCGUGGGGAGCAAACAGGAUUAGAUACCCUGGUAGUCCACGCCGUAAACGAGGAAUAAUAGGUGUCGGGGAGCAAAGCUCUUCGGUGCCGCAGCAAACGCCAGUAAGUAUUCCCCCUGGGGAGUACGUUCGCAAGAAUGAAACUCAAAGGAAUUGACGGGGACCCGCCCAAGCGGUGGAGCAUGUGGUUUAAUUUGAAGCAACGCGAAGAACCUUACCAGGCCUUGACAUCCGGAUGACGCAGGAGUAAUGUUCUGUUCCCUUCGGGGCAUCCGAGACAGGUGGUGCAUGGUUGUCGUCAGCUCGUGUCGUGAGAUGUUGGGUUAAGUCCCGCAACGAGCGCAACCCUUAUCCUUAGUAGCCAGCACUUCGGGUGGGCACUCUAGGGAGACUGCCAGGGACAACCUGGAGGAAGGUGGGGAUGACGUCAAAUCAUCAUGCCCCUUAUGGCCUGGGCUACACACGUGCUACAAUGGCGUAAACAAAGGGAAGCGAGCCUGUGAAGGGGAGCCAAUCCCAAAAAUAACGUCUCAGUUCGGAUUGUAGUCUGCAACUCGACUACAUGAAGCUGGAAUCGCUAGUAAUCGCGGAUCAGAAUGCCGCGGUGAAUAAAAUCCCGGGUCUUGCAC